RNAcentral lists this long non-coding RNA (392 nucleotides) under Carica papaya (papaya). Its description in RNAcentral is "long non-coding RNA (CPAP_LNC012814)". Lineage: Eukaryota; Viridiplantae; Streptophyta; Magnoliopsida; Brassicales; Caricaceae. The record is from RNAcentral.
UCGAAUGGGAACCGGGAAGGGCCUCAUUGGUUCCCAUUCGAUUGGUCAGCGGUUUGGCUCUGAUUUGGCCAUAGGCAGAUUCAGCAUCGAAAAACGAGCCAAUGGGAGAAAAUUUACCUUGUUUGGCGGUCGAAAAAUCCUCUGGUGCGGCGUUGGGUGGCGGUGAACAGCUUCUCUGGUGAUUGGUUCUUCUUCUCCGGCGAGGGUACUGGCGGCUAGGGCUUGGGGUUGGGUGUGGGUGAGGUUAUUUAUAAUCUUCCCCUUUUAAUCUCAGCCGUCCAUUAUGAUUUAAUCGCGAUGAGAUCUGAGCCAUCCGUGCGUGAUUCAAUGUGGAUCGUCCACACGCGUGAGAUCUGGGCCGUCCGUGCGCAUGAGAUCUGGACCGUCCGUAC